AACAGGAUUAGAUACCCUGGUAGUCCACGCCCUAAACGAUGUCAACUGGUUGUUGGGAGGGUUUCUUCUCAGUAACGUAGCUAACGCGUGAAGUUGACCGCCUGGGGAGUACGGCCGCAAGGUUGAAACUCAAAGGAAUUGACGGGGACCCGCACAAGCGGUGGAUGAUGUGGUUUAAUUCGAUGCAACGCGAAAAACCUUACCUACCCUUGACAUGCCAGGAAUCUUGCAGAGAUGUGAGAGUGCUCGAAAGAGAACCUGGACACAGGUGCUGCAUGGCCGUCGUCAGCUCGUGUCGUGAGAUGUUGGGUUAAGUCCCGCAACGAGCGCAACCCUUGUCAUUAGUUGCUACGAAAGGGCACUCUAAUGAGACUGCCGGUGACAAACCGGAGGAAGGUGGGGAUGACGUCAGGUCAUCAUGGCCCUUAUGGGUAGGGCUACACACGUCAUACAAUGGCCGGGACAGAGGGCUGCCAACCCGCGAGGGGGAGCUAAUCCCAGAAACCCGGUCGUAGUCCGGAUCGCAGUCUGCAACUCGACUGCGUGAAGUCGGAAUCGCUAGUAAUCGCGGAUCAGCUUGCCGCGGUGAAUACGUUCCCGGGUCUUGUACACACCGCCCGUCACACCAUGGGAGCGGGUUCUGCCAGAAGUAGUUAGCCUAACCGCAAGGAGGGCGAUUACCACGGCAGGGUUCGUGACUGGGGUGAAGUCGUAACAAGGUAACC
RNAcentral lists this ribosomal RNA (725 nucleotides) under uncultured bacterium. RNAcentral's name for it is "bacterial SSU rRNA". It matches the Rfam family "Bacterial small subunit ribosomal RNA", at positions 771 to 1501 of the family's 1533-position model. The record is from RNAcentral.